AUCGCUUCUCGGCCUUUUGGCUAAGAUCAAGUGUAUAAAUAUGGUCUGUUUAAGGACUACUUUUCAUUUUCGUAAUGAUGUUAUUUAAAGUUCCAAAUUUUGAUAGAAUCUCAU
Small nuclear RNA from Heterocephalus glaber (naked mole-rat), 114 nucleotides. Its record names the gene U2. It matches the Rfam family "U2 spliceosomal RNA". From Rfam's summary of the family: U2 is a small nuclear RNA (snRNA) component of the spliceosome (involved in pre-mRNA splicing). Complementary binding between U2 snRNA (in an area lying towards the 5' end but 3' to hairpin I) and the branchpoint sequence (BPS) of the intron results the bulging out of an unpaired adenosine, on the BPS, which initiates a nucleophilic attack at the intronic 5' splice site, thus starting the first of two transesterification reactions that mediate splicing. The record is from Ensembl. Lineage: Eukaryota; Metazoa; Chordata; Mammalia; Rodentia; Bathyergidae.